Long non-coding RNA from Chroicocephalus ridibundus (black-headed gull), 6275 nucleotides. RefSeq lists it as uncharacterized. The transcript is spliced from 3 exons. Lineage: Eukaryota; Metazoa; Chordata; Aves; Charadriiformes; Laridae. The record is from RefSeq and is a predicted model, not a curated record.
UGGGACCUCCCUGGCAAUAAAAGAGCCCAUUGUGGAGCUUCACUUUGAAAGCAGCUGAUCUCGGACUCCGCGCACAGGUUGGCACGUGCAGCCGAAGCGUGGAGGGUAACACGCUUGUGGUACUGGCACGUUGCCCAAGAGUUGUUUUCAAUGUCAAGCUUUCGCUGGGUUUGGUGAAAUAUCCUUAUCCUGUACUAAGGAGACGCAUUGCAUCGCCUUCUCCCCAUCCAUUACGCAGGCACCGGUCGCAGACAAGAAAGCAAAAGACAAGGCAGUCUGCUGGAAACAGAAUUUCAUCCUGGCUAUGUAUGGCUGAGAGUGUUUAAAGAUAUUUUGUAGUUGUAACUGUAGAAGAAAUUGCCCCGCUAUCUUUCCAUUUCUCCUUGACACGCAUCCAAAAGAACAUCAAUAUUUCUGUUAAGACAUCGCUAGACUUGACUGCUGUGAUGCUGCUAUUACUCUUCCCUUUCCUUUAAUUAUUUUCUUCUGUAUAUAGCAAUUUGUUUUCCCCAACUGAUAAAUAUCAUCAAUUUAAGGAAUGUUACUAUAAUAUAACUCCAUGAAUAUAUUUAGUAUAUAGAAAGCGUGCUCUCCCUUCGUCAUUAUAAUAGAAAUACAACUUGAUUUAUAAUAUUAUUCUCUCCUACAAUCAAUUUAUUUUUUCUAUGAAAAAUCUGCAGGUGUUGGAAAGAGAAGAGACAGUAUUUGCCCGUGAGUUUAUCUUUUUGGGGGUUUAAAAUUGCCCUCCGGGCUCUUUUGAAAGGGUGAGGUGGGCUGGCAGCGAGGCAGCCCGAGCCCCCUCGCAGCCCAACCUCGGAAUGCGGAGCAAGGCUUCAACCUUGGCUCCUGGGCAUUGCUCCUAGGAGGGACAGGACAUGUCCUACAUGCCCACAGACCCAUGGCUGGCUGAGCGUCUUCCCAGGACAUCACCAAACCUUUCCUGGUGGAGGGGUGACAGUGGGUAAGGAGAUGCCCCUCUCCAGCUGCUGCCAUCCAUCCGUCCAUCCAUCCAUCCAUCCAUCCAUCCAUCCAUCCAUCCAUCCAUCCAUCGGGAUGCAGGAACCCACCUUGCCAAGUUCUCUACUGCAAAGCAGAUCGCAUUAGCGCAAACUGCUGCUGAACAGGGUUUACUCUAAUCUGCUUUGCUUUGCAGAGCAACAGCUACAAGUGGUGGUGAGCUCCUUAGUCACCGUGCCUCAGCUGAGGGCUGGAAAUUAAUAGCUGAGAGGCAAUAACUUACAUUUCUACAUCUGUUCCACCAGUGAGCUCCCAACUGCGCUAACGUUCACAUUUCAACCGCUCCACGAGCCAGACCAAGUGAUGGUAUUAUUCAUCGCAUGCUGCACGUUCCCGCUUGUUUCCCGGGCUGGCGCUUGUCAGAGCGCAAGGGAAGUAUUUGAACAGCUUUUCACUGUCUGUCUGGACACAGGGAAAUUUUGUUCCCUGACAACGAUGCACAAACGCAUGCUGGGUUUGACAUAACGAAGCGAAAGCCAGAUCGGGAACUCACUGGAAAACACACCUGUAAUUUCUGGUGCGUUUGUCUCUGCUGCUCAGGGGGUCACUCAUGCUGAGGAAAUUCCUGUCCGCCUCUCACGCUGCUUCUCACAAGAUAUUUCCCCUUUGCCAGAUCUCUCCAUCAGCUACAUUUUGUUACCACAAUUUGUUGCAAAUUCUCAAUUUUAAUUUUUUUUUUUCUUUCAUAACACCUGUUAUCUUUUCUUAAAUGGUUGCUCAGAAAUACAGACAGGUUCCUCCCACCUCCCCAUCUCUGAUACGUAAGGGAGGCGUUUGUUUAAUGAGAUCUCAGCUGCCAACUGUGGCACGGUGGGUUUCUACAUUUUCAACGGCACUUCUUAUUCUCAAGCUCUGGUUUUCCACCCCACGGUUUACAUGACACUCAAUGCUAAUGCCAUUGCCUGAACCAUAGUGAUUUCUGCCUCUAAUCUUUCAAUACCUUCUGGUACUUUUAACAUCCUUGGAGAUGCUGACAAGGGCAAGACCCUACUUGACCUGCUCCGAGCAGGAGGCUGGACUGGAGGAGCUCUGGAGAUCUGUUUCCACCCUCAGCCUGUGAUUACCUUUUUCCUUAACAAAUGGCAAAAUUUUUCUCUCAACUAGUAAUUUUGUUAAAAAUACACCAUAGAUACUGCUAUUUGCUCCAUUUUCAACUCAUCUUGAUUACUCAAUACUCAGAGGGGAUAUAAAGUGCUUUUCAAUGUGCAUAUUUGUUAUUAUUUCUUUACCAGAGGCCUUUUUACGUUGACUGUGUCCUGGAGUAAUGUGUAUGUAUCAGGCAGCAGGUACUGCAUGAUGCUGUCAAAUUGUAUAAAGUACUAUAAUUUUUGCCAAGGAAGUGCAAAUCUUUGAAUUUUUUAUGUAUCCUGAAUCUAUUUCCUUAUAAAAUAAAUACCUACCAGACACGGUUUCUUCUUAGUGGAGGCAUGCUCAGGGAAGAGCUCACUUGCUUGUGUGCUGCUCCCUCCCUGUCCCGAUCCCCCUCGUUACUCUCAAUUUUUGCUUCAAGAAAUCAGCCCCAAGUGACGGUGUAUAACCCUGCGCCUCCGCGCCCCGGUGGGACUGGUGGCUGUAGCCUGCAGGGUGUGACAACGCCGUGCAUCACCCCUUCCAGUCCCUAAAGGGGCUCCAGGAAAGCUGGGGAGGGACUCUGGAGCAGGGAGGGGAGCCACAGGACCAGGGGGAAGGGUUUUACACUGAAAGAGGAGAGAUUGAGAUGAGAUAUUGUGAGGAAAUUGUUUGCUGUGAGGGUGGUGAGCCCCUGGCCCAGGUUGCCCAGAGCAGCUGUGGCUGCCCCAUCCCUGGAGGGGUUCAAGGCCAGGUUGGACGGGGCUUGGAGCAACCUGGGCUGGUGGGAGGUGUCCCUGCCCAGGGCAGGGGGUGCCACUGUGUGGCCUUUAAGGUCCCUUCCAGCUCUAACCAUUCCGUGAUUCCAUGGCCGACACCACUAAAGGUGCUUUGGCUAUAGCAGGUGGUGUGAUUUACAGCAGGCGUGUUGGGUGGAAAUUUUUGCAAAAUAUUGGCUUGAAACUCCUAUUCUUCAAUCUAUAUAAAAAUGAAUCAUGAGUAUAAUGCUUAUCUUCUGUACUCCUUUCUAAUUAGAAAGUACAACAAAACUACCCACCUACUUAGACCUUUCGAUUCUCCUAUUCUCCUAUUGCUGAAUUUAUGUGCUAUCAGUUAUUAAAAAAUCCUUCCCUCUCUGAUAUAAAUAUUCACUAGAUGCAGUUUCUUUUGUCUGCACAAUAAAUAUUACUGUGGAGCUCACCAGGAAAUUAAAGCGGAGCCUGAAGCUGACUGUCCUUGCAUGAUGUACUGCGAAUGAACUGUGUCCUAUGGGGAUUAUUCCAGUCCCCGAACAUCAUACUUCUUGUAUCUAAACAUCAAAAUAUGUUUUCUUCCAACUUCCAAACAGCAGUACACAUAUAAAUUUUCUAAUGGAUUUUCUGUUUAGCUGUCAGUUUAGCUGAUCCAGUAGACAGAAAUAUAGCAGCAACAUCCACUUAUUUUGAAAGUACCUUCACAUUCCCAAAGUUGCUUUGAAUUUGGUUUGAUAGUCUGAGACUUUAAGUAACACGGGAAAUUGCAUACUAAGCACUUUCUUUUAAACUCCUUCCUAUUUUCCAUUAUGAGAAUUAUCAGUGCUGGGUGGGGGAUUAAGAAAAGCUAUUAAAGCCAUUCUUCCAAGCAGGUUUUUCAAAUUUAGUGAGAACAAAGCCUUGCAGUUCGGAGAUGCCUAUUCCCUCGUCCCCGUGCGCUCCUUUCAGCUCUGGCUGGGCCAUCAAUUGCGCAAAAUUGCUGUUUUCUUCUUCUCAGCUGUGUUCUUUAGGAAGCUGUCAAAACCAAUGACAGGACAGGGCCAUUGUGCGUGUACAGCACCGCAGGAGUCCAGCACUUACCUUAUUAUUCUUAAGAUAAUAAAAAAAUGCAAUAUUAUAACCACUGUGUCCUCAGUUCACAGCUGCAGCUUCCUCCUACAGACCCCGGUGCUGUUCUCCACAGAGGUAUGAGCUGAUCCUUGCCUCCGACAGGGCUAUCUUUACGGUUUUAGCAACGUAGAGGCUCAAGAUGGCACAUGGGGUGUUCGAGCUCUGCUGCUGGCCACCCUGGGCUGGACCUGAGUCUUGCCGAGCCCCGUGUACAGCCCCAGCAGCAGAAAUACAAUUUUCCGCCACCGCUUCCGGGGAAAGAAGCUCGAAAUGGGUUGGCAUGUUCUUGAACAUUUUGCCCUUACUUUCAGGCGGGAGAGUGGUACAGGAUUGAACGCCAGAGUGGUCUAGAAGAAUAAAAGGCGAUGUCUGUUCUCCAUCCAUCAGCCGCUAAACCGCAUUAAUCAGUGUCACAGAAGCUGUUCCUGGCUUACAUCCUGGCCUGAGUCCAGCUUGUGCUGGGACCGGUAUAUUGGUUUUGGAUAAAUUAGCUCUCAGUCAGUCUUUAGCUGUCUUGCCGGGGAAUUAUUGUGCUAUAAUACAGUCUGUAAUUACAUGCUCACAUGGUAUCUUUUCCAUUCAAUGCACAGGAUGGAAAUGUAUGGAGUAGCAUUAAGGUUGCAGGGACAAAUAUGAAUUUGACCUUCAAGUGCUUGCCUUUACAAUCUACAAAAACUUCCAUUUGGCAUAGCCUUUCAAAAAACUGUGUUUAUGUAGCGGCCUGAUUUGCCAGGCUGCACCAAGCAGGCAAAGUUUCUCCUCUGACGGGUGCAUAGUCAAAAAAUCCAUAAAAAGUAGAACAGCGCAAGCGAAAUCCAGUCACGGACACACACGGGCAGAGGAGUGAAGGAAGAGCCACGCUGCCGACAGCCACACGGCGCGGGGACACCUCAUCCGGGGGCCGUGCAGCAGCUCCGUUUGUACAUUCCCCUCUUCACACCCCUUUUUCACGUGCACCAAAAUUGCCUGGCUUCCUCCUGCUGCCUUGGAAAAGCCUUCUCCGGGGACGAGGCCGGUUGGCAUGGCACGAGGUGGGUCCGUGCCGCGGAGCAUCCUGCCCUUGAUGAGAGGUGAGAAGGUGAUGAGAGCACAGCCAGCAUGGAGGAGCACCAGAGAUGGCCAGAAGAAAGCCCUUUAAAUCAGAGUACAUACGGAAUUAAACGCAAUUAAUUGCUUAGAUACAAAGUGUUCUUUUCCCUGGGUGACUUUAAACCGCAAUUGUUCCAGCUGCUCUGCAUCCCCGACCCAUCCUCCCUCCCGCAGGCUCUUCCCCUGCAUCCCGCUCACCCAGCGAUGCUUUGAGUGCAAAGUAGCCGGUUUAGCGAUUGCACCGUUAGCUGUUCCAGCAUCGGCACCUAAGCCCAUUUCUGGCCUUCCUGACCCCUCAGUUUGCCAGCAAAAGCAUCGGUUUGGGUGAUGGUCUGGACGAUAAACGCUGUCCGCGUGGGGUGAGUCUGCCUCGCCGCAGCCCAACGCAUCUGACCUGUGCGGCAAACCCAGAUGUGAACAAAAAAGGGAAACGGUGUUACUAUAGCUCAUGAAACCCCAUUUUAAAUGCCAUUAUCUUUAGUCUUAUCAUGCAAAGAUUAUUAUAGCCGGUCUCAGAUUUUCAUGUCCAAGUGGGAAAACAAACUGUGGCAACAAAAGUAAUAACGCGACUAUUCAACAGGGCUUUGUAAGGACGGGCAUUAGCACAUCUGACUUCCACGUGUUCCAUGCCUGUGCAGUAAUUCACUGCUGAGGUCACUGAAAAAGCUUUAAAUGUCUUAUAAAUAAUAACAGGCUGAGGUUUGUAAAAUUUCUUUUGCUGAGGGAAGAAGCAAUUAAACCAUCCACUGGAAACUAUUAAUAUGUUCCAUAAUUAUUAGUAGACAGUUAGCGAGGCCAUUUUUUCACGACCAUCUCAGCAGAUGAGGUGCAAUAACAACACACUGCACUGCUAAGCCCACUUGUGGUAAAGUUUGCCCAGGUAAUUCUGCUUUUUGAUACAAGCAGAAUGUUUUUUCUCACAGUAUCACUAGUUAUGACCUGAGACAAGCACGCAUCUCCUCGAAGCGUGCAAAGUCUCUUCUAACUCAACAAGGAGGGAAAGAUGGGCUCAGGUGACUGCAGUGCCCGACUCCUAUCCACGCCGAUAACAAUGCGCGUCUGGGCCCACCGCAGCUGAAAGCUUCUGCUUGACAGAGCGACAAGGAACACAGAAUUUGUACAAAACCAGGCUCCUUUGGCACAGCCCCUUCAAAGGGCGGGAAGGGACUGAGCUCAUGAAUUUGGUUCCUUCUGGUCUUUCCUACUCUUCUCAAUUCGGAUAUUCUUCUGUAUUUUGCA